Molecule: long non-coding RNA, 1042 nt
Filed under: Ananas comosus (pineapple)
Lineage: Eukaryota; Viridiplantae; Streptophyta; Magnoliopsida; Poales; Bromeliaceae
Description: long non-coding RNA (ACOM_LNC026967)
Source: RNAcentral
UACAUUAUAACUUUAGAAGUAUCGAUUUUGAUAAAUAUUUUGCCCCCUCACCAUUAUUCCAAUUUUGUAUUCCAACUAAAUAUAAUAAGAGUGUUCUAUUCUGCCCUGAGAGUAUUUUAUUAUGGCAUAAAAGUGUAAAAUUGAGCUGCAUAUAUAUUCGCAUUCAAACGAACAAAGAUUAAUACCUAAUUAAAAUGUUCUAUUAUGCCCCGAGGGGGUAAAUUAGAUGUCCACGUUCACAAGAACGAAAACCGGAACAACAUUAAGCUACUCAAUUGCGGCCAAACAGUAUAAAUUUGCGACGAGUACUUUUUCUCAUUCAAACGAACAAAGAUUAAAACCUGAUAAGAGUAUUCUAUUAUAUUAUAAGCAUGUAAAAUUGUAACGAAUACAUGUUCGCAUUCAAAUGAACAAAAAUUAUAACCUGAUAAGAGCGUUCUAUUAUACUCUAAGAGUGUUCUAUUAUACCAUAAGAGUAUAAAAUUACAACGCAUACAUGUUCGUAUUAAAAUAAACAAAAAUUAAAACCUAAUAAGAGUGUUCUAUUAUGUCCUGAGAGUAUUCUAUUAUGGCACAAGAGUGUAAAAUUGUAAGGCAUACAUGUUUGCAUUCAAACGAACAAAAAUUAAAACCUGAUAAGAGUAUUCUAUUAUGCCCUAAGAGUGUUUUAUUAUGCCAUAAGAGUGUAAAAUUGCGACGCAUACAUAUUCGCAUUCAAGUGAAUAAAAAUUAAAACCUGAUAAGAGUAUUCUAUUAUGUCAAAAGAGUAUUCUAUUAUGAUAUAAGAGUGUAAAAUUAUAACACAUACAUUCGCAUUCAAACGAACAAAAAUUAUAACCUAAUAAGAGUGUUCUAUUAUACUCUAAGAGUAUUUUAUUAUGGCAUAAGAGUAUAAAAUUACAACGCAUACAUGUUCGCAUUCAAAUAAACAAAAAUUAAAAUAUGAUAAGAGUGUUCUAUUAUUCUAAGAGUGUAAAUUUGUAACGAAUAUAUAUCCACAUUCAAACGAAUAAAAUUUAAUCAUAUGCGUGAUCUAUAAACC